This 497-nucleotide ribosomal RNA is filed under the name uncultured bacterium. RNAcentral describes it as "partial 16S ribosomal RNA". It matches the Rfam family "Bacterial small subunit ribosomal RNA", at positions 28 to 507 of the family's 1533-position model. The record is from RNAcentral.
GACGAACGCUGGCGGCGUGCCUAAUACAUGCAAGUUGAGCGAUGAAGAUUGGUGCUUGCACCAAUUUGAAGAGCAGCGAACGGGUGAGUAACGCGUGGGGAAUCUGCCUUUGAGCGGGGGACAACAUUUGGAAACGAAUGCUAAUACCGCAUAACAACUUUAAACAUAAGUUUUAAGUUUGAAAGAUGCAAUUGCAUCACUCAAAGAUGAUCCCGCGUUGUAUUAGCUAGUUGGUGAGGUAAAGGCUCACCAAGGCGAUGAUACGUAGCCGACCUGAGAGGGUGAUCGGCCACAUUGGGACUGAGACACGGCCCAAACUCCUACGGGAGGCAGCAGUAGGGAAUCUUCGGCAAUGGACGAAAGUCUGACCGAGCAACGCCGCGUGAGUGAAGAAGGUUUUCGGAUCGUAAAACUCUGUUGGUAGAGAAGAACGUUGGUGAGAGUGGAAAGCUCAUCAAGUGACGGUAACUACCCAGAAAGGGACGGCUAACUACGUG